Molecule: transfer RNA, 77 nt
Filed under: Camelus bactrianus (Bactrian camel)
Lineage: Eukaryota; Metazoa; Chordata; Mammalia; Artiodactyla; Camelidae
Also listed under: 2 other names
Rfam family: tRNA
About the family: Transfer RNA (tRNA) molecules are approximately 80 nucleotides in length. Their secondary structure includes four short double-helical elements and three loops (D, anti-codon, and T loops). Further hydrogen bonds mediate the characteristic L-shaped molecular structure. tRNAs have two regions of fundamental functional importance: the anti-codon, which is responsible for specific mRNA codon recognition, and the 3' end, to which the tRNAs corresponding amino acid is attached (by aminoacyl-tRNA synthetases). tRNAs cope with the degeneracy of the genetic code in two manners: having more than one tRNA (with a specific anti-codon) for a particular amino acid; and 'wobble' base-pairing, i.e. permitting non-standard base-pairing at the 3rd anti-codon position.
Source: Rfam by way of RNAcentral
GAGGGUAUAGCUCAGUGGUAGAAUACCAUGUGUGCUUAACAUGCAUGAGGUCCUGGGUUCAAUCCCCAGUACCUCCA